RNAcentral lists this long non-coding RNA (466 nucleotides) under Phascolarctos cinereus (koala). Its description in RNAcentral is "lncRNA (ENSPCIG00000027220.2)". Lineage: Eukaryota; Metazoa; Chordata; Mammalia; Diprotodontia; Phascolarctidae. The record is from RNAcentral.
GAAAUGAUUUGCCUAAGGUCACAUCUAACAAGUGAAGGAACAGGUUUUCAGACACAGGCUGUUGUACUCCCAAGUUUAGUGAUCUUUCCGCUACAUAUUUUGCCUAAAUUCCUUUGUAAAAGUUCAUGCUUACCUUUACCAACAGGACCAAAGAAGAAUCUGGGCUUCAACCAAGGGGGAAAAAAUGCAAGGACUGGCAACAGGAUUGCAGCCAAUACCAUAAAAGUUCUUCAGGAAUCUGAGAUAAUUAGAAAUCGAAAACAAUAAGAUAAACAAGAAACUAAAGACUUGGACAGAUUGUUGGAAAAACUGGACAUCAGUGAAGAAGCCUAAGGCAAGUAGGGUCAUCAGAGGUUAUGAAUGGUAUUGGGUUUUGGGCAGGAUUUAAUUGGUUGAAAACAGAGAGGAGGCUUUUGGAUAGAGUGAUGACUUUGGAAGUGGACCUAACUUGGAUUAGUUGUAGCAG